GAUGAACGCUGGCGGCGUGCCUAAUACAUGCAGGUCGAGCGAACAGACGAGGAGCUUGCUCCUCUGACGUUAGCGGCGGACGGGUGAGUAACACGUGGAUAACCUACCUAUAAGACUGGGAUAACUUCGGGAAACCGGAGCUAAUACCGGAUAAUAUAUUGAACCGCAUGGUUCAAUAGUGAAAGACGGUUUUGCUGUCACUUAUAGAUGGAUCCGCGCCGCAUUAGCUAGUUGGUAAGGUAACGGCUUACCAAGGCAACGAUGCGUAGCCGACCUGAGAGGGUGAUCGGCCACACUGGAACUGAGACACGGUCCAGACUCCUACGGGAGGCAGCAGUAGGGAAUCUUCCGCAAUGGGCGAAAGCCUGACGGAGCAACGCCGCGUGAGUGAUGAAGGUCUUCGGAUCGUAAAACUCUGUUAUUAGGGAAGAACAAAUGUGUAAGUAACUAUGCACGUCUUGGCGGUACCUAAUCAGAAAGCCACGGCUAACUACGUG
RNAcentral lists this ribosomal RNA (497 nucleotides) under uncultured bacterium. RNAcentral describes it as "partial 16S ribosomal RNA". It matches the Rfam family "Bacterial small subunit ribosomal RNA", at positions 28 to 507 of the family's 1533-position model. The record is from RNAcentral.